RNAcentral lists this ribosomal RNA (253 nucleotides) under uncultured bacterium. RNAcentral's name for it is "partial 16S ribosomal RNA". It matches the Rfam family "Bacterial small subunit ribosomal RNA", at positions 524 to 776 of the family's 1533-position model. The record is from RNAcentral.
UACGUAGGGGGCAAGCGUUGUCCGGAAUCAUUGGGCGUAAAUCGCGUGUAGGCGGCUCGGUAAGUCCGCUCUGAAAGCCCGGGGCUCAACCCCGGGAGGCGGGUGGAUACUGCUGAGCUCGAGUCCGGAAGAGGAGUGUGGAAUUCCUGGUGUAGCGGUGAAAUGCGCAGAUAUCAGGAGGAACACCAAUGGCGAAGGCAGCACUCUGGGACGGUACUGACGCUGAGACGCGAAAGCGUGGGGAGCAAGCAGG